CCGCCCCGCCAAGGGUGGGGGCGACGGCCGGGCUCCGCGCGCUGCCCGGCGCUGUCCGAGGUGCUGGACGCCGGCGGGGCGCGCUCCACGCCGCCGGCUCUGUGCGCAGCUUCCAGAAGGCCCUGCGCGCCCCGUCCCUCAGCGCACCUGCUCCAGGUGCCCAGGACUCAAAGCACGCGGCACCGUAUCUGCAAGGUGAGCGCGCCCGCGCCCCGGCUUCGCGGAGGCCUGCCCCCCAUGUCUAGGUGAAAACAAGCACGCGUGGGGAAACAAUGAACGACUGUUCAACUGAAGGAAACAAUGCGUGCUUUUGGAUACAUGCAUGCGAAUACACCCGUGAAGUUCAUGACCUAUCACUACCCUCUACACCUGUACUUUGUACCGCAAGGCAGGACGGGAUUGGGGAAGCUGAGCCAACUCCGGAGUCAGACUGCAUGGACUGAAAUCCCAACCCAACCACUUGCCAGCCGUGAGUC
Acinonyx jubatus (cheetah) is the source of this 476-nucleotide long non-coding RNA. RefSeq lists it as uncharacterized. The transcript has 3 exons. Lineage: Eukaryota; Metazoa; Chordata; Mammalia; Carnivora; Felidae. The record is from RefSeq and is a predicted model, not a curated record.